UUGCAGAAAUUUUGUGGGUGCCCUCCUUGAUUACUGAGUUUAAAAGUGAAUUUCCAAACUCCUAUCACUUAUUGCCACAACCUAAGUAUCAUAUCCCUAUUACAUAAUGCAGUGCUUCAUAUUUAGGACCAAACAUAUGGAGCUCUAAAUCUUUGAUGAAGAGAAAGUAGUCAAUUAGGAAUCUCAUAGUACAUCAUGUCCCUGCUGCUGAUCAAAAUGUAGGCAUUCUCACUAAGCCCGUCUCCCAACUACAUUUUACUAAUCUGAGACUAACCCAUGGUGUUUGAUAAGUUUACACUUGAUCGACCACCUUGAGUUUGAGUUGAAAAAUGGAAAAUGGACAACCAAACAUUAGAAGCAUCCAAGAGCAAUGAUCAUCCCUUCAAAAAAAAAAACAAUGAAUCAUUGUGGUAUAAGGAAAUGGACGAAGAACCCUAAGUGCAAGUCAUGUAGCCCUUAAAAGUGUUGAAAAUGAAUGAAAAGAAUCAUAAAUAUGUUUGAAAUUAAAAGAGCAAAAUGACCUUAGAAUUUUCUAUGAUGGAGGAAAGAAGCGGUUGAGAUUGAAAGGUAGGGAGUAGAACUCUUCAUUCAUGUUAUAUGCUCUAAAGGUUUUAAACUUAGCUCAUCAUGGCAUUCCUCUAUCUUUGGCAUUGUCCUAAGAAAAGGGAAACACCAGUGACAAAGAGGUUCCUCAUUGAAUUCUUGUUGGUGUGAGUUGCAAAUAUUAUAGCCCUACAGAAGCUGAAAAAACAAAAACAACAAUUGUCGUAAUAAGAAAAGAAAGUGAGUGAGGAUAUCCACUACAGUUUACUAAUCUGAGACAGACUCAUUAGCUGCUUCUAUAUUAGACUCUUUUGAAUUCUGUUAUAGACUUGUAGCCAGUCAGUUCUUAAGGCAGCAUAUCAUGGUGUAUACCACUUCACAAAAAUCAUAGCGAAUAAUCCAAGUUAUGAUUUAAAAUUCGUAUGCAAAAGUGAAAGACAGCAACAGGCAGAAAAACCAUUUCCCAUGACCUAGCAUAAAAAGUAAUGGACCAACAGUUAAGCUUUCAAGUCAGUAACUCUCAACACCAUAAACAUUACCUCAGCUUUUCUCUGCAACUUAGCUUCACCUUCAGCCUUAAUACCAUCCAGCUCCAGCAAUUUCCUCAUAAGCAAACCAAUUCUU
This 1167-nucleotide long non-coding RNA is filed under the name Medicago truncatula (barrel medic). RNAcentral's name for it is "long non-coding RNA (MTRU_LNC001931)". Lineage: Eukaryota; Viridiplantae; Streptophyta; Magnoliopsida; Fabales; Fabaceae. The record is from RNAcentral.